Long non-coding RNA from Nannospalax galili (Upper Galilee mountains blind mole rat), 340 nucleotides. RefSeq lists it as uncharacterized. The record is from RefSeq and is a predicted model, not a curated record. The transcript has 3 exons. Lineage: Eukaryota; Metazoa; Chordata; Mammalia; Rodentia; Spalacidae.
UGCCAUGUGGGUGCUAGAAAUCAAACCCCGGUCCUCUGCCAGAACAGCCAGUGCUCUUAACUGCUGAGUCAUCUCUCCAGCCCCAUCAGUUCUUUCUAAAUUUAGCUGGUCUUGAGAGAAAAAGCACUGGGGACCCCUGCCAACGGGGAGUUUGGGAGUGGAUUCGUAAGCCAAGCCUGACAGACCAUUGAUUGUCCUUAUGAGACCCAGAGCCCAGUGCCCAGCUGAGCUGAUCUUCAAAAAAAAAAAAGCCUAAGAUCGUCACCAUGCUCUGGAUGAUCCCCUGCUCUGGAUGACCCCUUGCUCUGGACGACCCCGUGCUCUGGAUGACCCCCUGCUC